This 3277-nucleotide small RNA is filed under the name Pan troglodytes (chimpanzee). Its description in RNAcentral is "retained intron". Lineage: Eukaryota; Metazoa; Chordata; Mammalia; Primates; Hominidae. The record is from RNAcentral.
GAUUUAAAUGAGGUUCCCACAAGGCUUUGUAGUCGCAAAACACAGAGGUGACUCUUUUAACUCAGAGGCACUUUCCUCUGCCUUGCGUUUUAAUUUUAGAGCAUUGAUGAAUUGAUCGAGAAGACGGUCCCUGCCAACAUCCGUUUGAAAAGACCCUUGAAAAUGGAAGACCCUGUUUGAUCACCCAGUAUACUCCAUACCAGCCUGAGGUGUCUCAGGGGAGGCUGGAGAGUUUACUCAACUACCAGACCAUGGUGUGUGACAUCACAGGCCUGGACAUGGCCAAUGCAUCCCUGCUGGAUGAGGGGACUGCAGCUGCAGAGGCACUGCAGCUGUGCUACAGACACAACAAGAGGAGGAAAUUUUUUGUUGACCCCCGUUGCCACCCACAGACAAUAGCUGUUGUCCAGACUCGAGCCAAAUAUACUGGAGUCCUCACUGAGCUGAAGUUACCCUGUGAAAUGGACUUCAGUGGAAAAGAUGUCAGCGGAGUGUUGUUCCAGUACCCAGACACGGAGGGGAAGGUGGAAGACUUUACGGAACUCGUGGAGAGAGCUCAUCAGAGUGGGAGCCUGGCCUGCUGUGCUACUGACCUUUUAGCUUUGUGCAUCUUGAGGCCACCUGGAGAAUUUGGGGUAGACAUCGCCCUGGGCAGCUCCCAGAGAUUUGGAGUGCCACUGGGCUAUGGGGGACCCCACGCAGCAUUUUUUGCUGUCCGAGAAAGCUUGGUGAGAAUGAUGCCUGGAAGAAUGGUGGGGGUAACAAGAGACGCCACUGGGAAAGAAGUGUAUCGUCUUACUCUUCAAACCAGGGAGCAACACAUUCGGAGAGACAAGGCUACCAGCAACAUCUGUACAGCUCAGGCCCUCUUGGCGAAUAUGGCUGCCAUGUUUGCAAUCUACCAUGGUUCCCAUGGGCUGGAGCAUAUUGCUAGGAGGGUACAUAAUGCCACUUUGAUUUUGUCAGAAGGUCUCAAGCGAGCAGGGCAUCAACUCCAGCAUGACCUGUUCUUUGAUACCUUGAAGAUUCAGUGUGGCUGCUCAGUGAAGGAGGUCUUGGGCAGGGCCGCUCAGCGGCAGAUCAAUUUUCGGCUUUUUGAGGAUGGCACACUUGGUAUUUCUCUUGAUGAAACAGUCAAUGAAAAAGAUCUGGAUGAUUUGUUGUGGAUCUUUGGUUGUGAGUCAUCUGCAGAACUGGUUGCUGAAAGCAUGGGAGAGGAGUGCAGAGGUAUUCCAGGGUCUGUGUUCAAGAGGACCAGCCCGUUCCUCACCCAUCAAGUGUUCAACAGCUACCACUCUGAAACAAACAUUGUCCGGUACAUGAAGAAACUGGAAAAUAAAGACAUUUCCCUUGUUCACAGCAUGAUUCCACUGGGAUCCUGCACCAUGAAACUGAACAGUUCGUCUGAACUCGCACCUAUCACAUGGAAAGAAUUUGCAAACAUCCACCCCUUUGUGCCUCUGGAUCAAGCUCAAGGAUAUCAGCAGCUUUUCCGAGAGCUUGAGAAGGAUUUGUGUGAACUCACAGGUUAUGACCAGGUCUGUUUCCAGCCAAACAGCGGAGCCCAGGGAGAAUAUGCUGGACUGGCCACUAUCCGAGCCUACUUAAACCAGAAAGGAGAGGGGCACAGAACGGUUUGCCUCAUUCCGAAAUCAGCACAUGGGACCAACCCAGCAAGUGCCCACAUGGCAGGCAUGAAGAUUCAGCCUGUGGAGGUGGAUAAAUAUGGGAAUAUCGAUGCAGUUCACCUCAAGGCCAUGGUGGAUAAGCACAAGGAGAACCUAGCAGCUAUCAUGAUUACAUACCCGUCCACCAAUGGGGUGUUUGAAGAGAACAUCAGUGACGUGUGUGACCUCAUCCAUCAACAUGGAGGACAGGUCUACCUAGACGGGGCAAAUAUGAAUGCUCAGGUGGGAAUCUGUCGCCCUGGAGACUUUGGGUCUGAUGUCUCGCACCUAAAUCUUCACAAGACCUUCUGCAUUCCCCACGGAGGAGGUGGUCCUGGCAUGGGGCCCAUCGGAGUGAAGAAACAUCUCGCCCCGUUUUUGCCCAAUCAUCCCGUCAUUUCACUAAAGCGGAAUGAGGAUGCCUGUCCUGUGGGAACCGUCAGUGCGGCCCCAUGGGGCUCCAGUUCCAUCUUGCCCAUUUCCUGGGCUUAUAUCAAGAUGAUGGGAGGCAAGGGUCUUAAACAAGCCACGGAAACUGCGAUAUUAAAUGCCAACUACAUGGCCAAGCGAUUAGAAAAACACUACAGAAUUCUUUUCAGGGGUGCAAGAGGUUAUGUGGGUCAUGAAUUUAUUUUGGACACGAGACCCUUCAAAAAGUCUGCAAAUAUUGAGGCUGUGGAUGUGGCCAAGAGACUCCAGGAUUAUGGAUUUCACGCCCCUACCAUGUCCUGGCCUGUGGCAGGGACCCUCAUGGUGGAGCCCACUGAGUCGGAGGACAAGGCAGAGCUGGACAGAUUCUGUGAUGCCAUGAUCAGCAUUCGGCAGGAAAUUGCUGACAUUGAGGAGGGCCGCGUCGACCCCAGGGUCAAUCCGCUGAAGAUGUCUCCACACUCCCUGACCUGCGUUACAUCUUCCCACUGGGACCGGCCUUAUUCCAGAGAGGUGGCAGCAUUCCCACUCCCCUUCGUGAAACCAGAGAACAAAUUCUGGCCAACGAUUGCCCGGAUUGAUGACAUAUAUGGAGAUCAGCACCUGGUUUGUACCUGCCCACCCAUGGAAGUUUAUGAGUCUCCAUUUUCUGAACAAAAGAGGGCGUCCUCUUAGUCCUGUCUCCCUAAGUUUAAAGGACUGAUUUGAUGCCUCUCCCUAGAGCAUUUGAUAAGCAAGAAAGAUUUCAUCUCCCACCCCAGCCUCAAGUAGGAGUUUUAUAUAAUGUGUAUAUCUCUGUAAUCUCUGUCAAGGUAAAUGUAAAUACAGUAGCUGGAAGGAGUCGAAGCUGAUGGUUGGAAGACGGAUUUGCUUUGGUAUUCUGCUUCCACAUGUGCCAGCUGCCUGGAUUGGGAGCCAUUUUGUGUUUUGCGUAGAAAGUUUUAGGAACUUUAACUUUUAAUGUGGCAAGUUUGCAGAUGUCAUAGAGGCUAUCCUGGAGACUUAAUAGACAUUUUUUUGUUCCAAAAGAGUCCAUGUGGACUGUGCCAUCUGUGGGAAAUCCCAGGGCAAAUGUUUACAUUUUGUAUACCCUGAAGAACUCACUUUUCCUCUAAUAUGCCUAAUCUGUAAUCACAUUUCUGAGUGUUUUCCUCUUUUUCUGUGUGAGGUUUUUUUUUAAA